RNAcentral lists this ribosomal RNA (292 nucleotides) under uncultured bacterium. Its description in RNAcentral is "partial 16S ribosomal RNA". The record is from RNAcentral.
GGACUACUAGGGUAUCUAAUCCUGUUUGCUCCCCACGCUUUCGUGCAUGAGCGUCAGUCUUAUCCCAGGGGGCUGCCUUCGCCAUCGGUGUUCCUCCACAUCUCUACGCAUUUCACUGCUACACGUGGAAUUCCACCCCCCUCUGACAGACUCUAGCCAGACAGUCACAAGCGCAGUUCCCAGGUUAAGCCCGGGGAUUUCACGCCUGUCUUAUCAAGCCGCCUGCGCACGCUUUACGCCCAGUAAUUCCGAUUAACGCUUGCACCCUACGUAUUACCGCGGCUGCUGGCAC